UAACUUAGUUUAAAUAUAAUAAUUUUUUGUAAAACAAAUUGAAAAAUAUAGACUGAAAAAGACAUCUUCAGAUAAAUAGACUUUAUUGUAGGUCUACGAAACCCUAAACCACAAAUCUCAAACCCUAAAUGUUUUGCUUGAUAAUCAAAAAGUCUCAUUUAUACAAAAUAAAAACUACUAAACAUUAAUAUGCAGAUUUAAGUUAAUAAAACAAAAAAAAAACAAAAUCUAAAAUCUA
RNAcentral lists this long non-coding RNA (238 nucleotides) under Brassica rapa (field mustard). RNAcentral describes it as "long non-coding RNA (BRAP_LNC007683)". Lineage: Eukaryota; Viridiplantae; Streptophyta; Magnoliopsida; Brassicales; Brassicaceae. The record is from RNAcentral.